UACGUAGGGUGCAAGCGUUGUCCGGAAUUAUUGGGCGUAAAGAGCUCGUAGGCGGUCUGUUGCGUCGGCUGUGAAAACCCGCAGCUCAACUGUGGGCUUGCAGCUGAUACGGGCAGGCUUGAGUUCGGUAGGGGAGACUGGAAUUCCUGGUGUAGCGGUGAAAUGCGCAGAUAUCAGGAGGAACACCGGUGGCGAAGGCGGGUCUCUGGGCCGAUACUGACGCUGAGGAGCGAAAGCGUGGGGAGCGAACAGG
This 253-nucleotide ribosomal RNA is filed under the name uncultured bacterium. RNAcentral describes it as "partial 16S ribosomal RNA". It matches the Rfam family "Bacterial small subunit ribosomal RNA", at positions 524 to 776 of the family's 1533-position model. The record is from RNAcentral.